Lepisosteus oculatus (spotted gar) is the source of this 119-nucleotide ribosomal RNA. NCBI's taxonomy places the organism in Eukaryota, Metazoa, Chordata, Actinopteri, Semionotiformes, Lepisosteidae. The record is from Rfam.
GCCAGCAGCCAUGUUACCCUGCAAUUUACAAUUGGCAACCCACUGAAGCUAAGCAGAUGUGACCCUGUUCAGUAUCUGGAUGGGAGACCUCCUGGGAAAAACUAAGGUUGCUGCUGGAA